GUUUCUGUAUAGCCUUGACAGACCUAGUCUUCUUCUGUCUUGUUGAUUGUAGUUCUCAGAAUAGUUGAAGCAUGUGUGAGCAUGCAAUAUCCUGAGACAGGGAGGAACUGCUAGAAAUAGACCAGGCUUUGUUAUUUGCCCUCCUAGGGAAGAGAACUUCUUGAGUUAGAGAAGAAUUGCUCAGGAUAGCCUGAGCUUUAGUCUUUAUCUUAGAAGCAAGACGCCCUUCAAUGCUUUAGCCCAGCAACUCACAUGUCCCCUGAGUUAACUCAAGGUGGGUUGCCUUUUGGGAUCCCUAAGCUGCAGUCCAAGUGUGGCAUGUUCAGUCAGGACUCCAUCCACCCCCGACAGCUCUCCAGAGCCUCGGCUGACCAGCUCACUGUGGAUCCUGGGCUUCUGUUGUCCCUUGCCACCUAUCUAAACACUUAUUAUACCAGGAGAAGAACAAAACAACUGCAGAUGAAGCUCUUUGGAUUUGUUCCUGAGGUGAAACUCCUCAAACGCCAUUUCUCUGAAUCGGAGAUGUAGGAGUAACACAGUAGAAACCUCCCAGCAACAGAGGGAAACAGCAAAGCAUGCAGCAAACAAGGUUCAUAGCAACUUUGACAUUGAAUGAGGCACAGAUUACCAGUUUCUUUUACUGUUUUAAUUAACUCUAUUAGGAUAUCAUUUUUGCACAAGAAACAGCAUCCUUUUAAAGUAUACAAUUUCAUAAGUUUUGACAGUUAUAGUCAGUCACUAAAUGGCAGCAACAAUUAAAAGACACAUUUCCUUCAUCCCCAAAGUUCCUGUGCCCCUUAGUCCAUGCAUCCCUCCAACAUCCUCCUCAAGUGAAGGAUGAUCUGUUGUUGCCAUGAUGAAUAGUUCAAAUUUCUAGAAUUCAUAUAAGUGGUAUAAUACAUUGUAUAGACUUCUGGGCCUGGAUACUUUCUAUUAAUUAUUUUAAGUUUUAUCUAUGUUGUAGUGUGAGUCAGUAAUUUGUUUUAUUUUAUUGCUGAUUAGUAUUCAACUGUAUGGAUAUACUACAUUUUGUUUAUCCAUUUCAAAGUCAUUGGCAUCUGACUUAUUUCUAAUUUGGUGAUUUUAUGAAAAAUAGCUACAAAAAUGUGAACACAGGUUUAUGUAUGAACAUUUAUUUUUAUUUCCUUUGGUGACAAACCUAUGACUUGAAUGACUUGGUUAUGUAAUAAGUGUGUAUUUAAAUUUUUUAGAAACUGCCCAAAACUUUCCUAUUCACCAAAAGGUAUGAGAGCACCAGUUGCUCCACGUUUUCUUCACCACCACUUAGUAUGUCAGUAUUUUAUUUUAGCUACUACACAUAGUGGCAUUCCAAUGUGGAAUGAUGUGCAUCCUUUUUAGGUGCUUAUUGGUCAUUCAUACAUCUCUUCUAGUGAAGUGUUUGUCAGAAAAGAUUUUGUCCAUUUUUAUUAGGCUUUUUGCCUUACUAUUGAGUUAUAGAAGCUUGUCUUUUUAUUUUUUUCAUUCAGGACACAAAUUUAUGUAUACAUAUAUUUGUAGCUUUAUUUUUUAUUGUGUCCUGUAAGGAACAAAAGUCAUAAUUUGGAUAAAGUUUGACUUAUCUUUUUGUCUUUUGUAGAUUUUGCUUUUUGUGUCUUAUCAAAGUCUUCGUUUAACCCAAGUUCACAGGUAUUUAUUCCACUAGUUAUAUAAGCUUAGCAUUUACAUUUAAGCCUAUGAAGGUUUGAGAUGAAGUGAUAUAAGGUAAAUUUUUAGUUUCUUUAUGUGACUAUCCAGUUAUUCCAGCACAAUUGGUUGAAAAGACACUCCUUUUCUCAUUGAAAUGCUUUCACAGCUUAAUAGAAAAUAAACUGACCUUAUAUGUAUAGGUCUAUUUUUGGGAACUUUAUUCCAUUUUACUUAUGUAUAUGUGAAUCCUUCACCACACUGUUUUAAUGUAAAAAUGCUUUAUACUUAGAACUAAAACUAGAUCAUAUAAAUUCUUUAAGUUUGCUUUUUCACUUUAAUAUUUUACUGGUGGUUAUGGGCCAUUCACACUUCCACAUAUAUUUGAGAAUCAGCUUGUCAGUUUAAAACAUGAUGUAAUUUUGAUUGGAUUUGUUUUAUCUGUUGAUGAAUUUAGAAUAAAUCAACAUCUUUAAAAUUUUGCAUGUUUCAACUUAUGAAUAUUUUUCUCAAGUCACAUAGGCUUUUUAAUUUUUUUACAAGAAGUUUUGUAGUUUUCAGUGUACAGGUCUUGCACAUAUUUUUAUACAUUAUUUCUAGAUAUUUUAUUCCCAGAGAUGCUAUUAUAAAUGAAAUUGCAUUUUUAUUUCAAUUUGUAUGUUUUUGUUUGAGAUUUUUUUUCUAUUUGAUUUGUCUAAGGUAGUUGAUAUAGUUGAUUUUGUAUAUGGACCUUGUAACCUGGGACCUUGCUAAACUCACUUUUUAGUUCUACUAACUUUUUAACAGAUUUAUUAAAAUGUCCUUUUGAGAAGUGUCUGUUUAUAUCCUUCACCCAAUUUUUGAUGCGGUUGUUUUUUUCUUUUAAAUUUGUUCAAGUUCCUUGUGAAUUCUAGAUAUUAGACCUUUGUCACAUUGAUAGAUUACAAGAAUUUUUUCCCAUUCUGUAGGUUGCCUG
Molecule: long non-coding RNA, 2599 nt
Filed under: Homo sapiens (human)
Lineage: Eukaryota; Metazoa; Chordata; Mammalia; Primates; Hominidae
Description: HSALNT0136563
Source: RNAcentral